CCUACGGGCGGCAGCAGUGAGGAAUAUUGGGCAAUGGCCGUAAGUCUGAACCAGCCAAGUAGCGUGAGGGAAGACUGCCCUAUGGUUUGUAAACCUCUUUUAUGCGGGGAUAAGGGUGUCCGCGUGUGGAUGUUUGCAGGUACCGCAUGCAUAAGGACCGGCUAAUUCCGUGCCAGCAGCCGCGGUAAUGCGGCAGGUCCGGUCGUUAUCCGGAUUUAUUGGGUUUGAAGGGAACGUAGGCCGGUCUGUAAGCGUUCCGUGAAAUUUUGUGGCUCAACCAUAAGAUUGCGGCGCGAACUGGUGACCGUGAGUGCGCGGAAGGCAGGCGGAAUUCGUGGUGUAGCGGUGAAAUGCUUAGAUAUAACGAAGAACCCCGAUUGCGAAGGCAGCCUGCCGCAGCGUUACUGACGCUGAAGCUCGAAAGCGCGGGUAGCGAACAGGAUUAGAUACCCCUGUAGUC
This 460-nucleotide ribosomal RNA is filed under the name uncultured bacterium. RNAcentral describes it as "partial 16S ribosomal RNA". It matches the Rfam family "Bacterial small subunit ribosomal RNA", at positions 338 to 795 of the family's 1533-position model. The record is from RNAcentral.